This 232-nucleotide ribosomal RNA is filed under the name uncultured bacterium. Its description in RNAcentral is "partial 16S ribosomal RNA". It matches the Rfam family "Bacterial small subunit ribosomal RNA", at positions 15 to 228 of the family's 1533-position model. The record is from RNAcentral.
GAUCCUGGCUCAGGACGAACGCUGGCGGCGUGCUUAACACAUGCAAGUCGAACGAGAAUCUGUGGAUCGAGGAUUCGUCCAAGUGAAGCAGAGGACAGUGGCGGACGGGGUGAGUAACGCGUGAGGAACCUGCCUUUCAGAGGGGGACAACCAGUUGGAAACGACUGCUAAUACCGCAUGAUACAUUUGGGUGGCAUCAUCUGAAUGUCAAAGAUUUAUCGCUGAAAGAUGG